Molecule: non-coding RNA, 969 nt
Organism: Cyprinus carpio (common carp)
Lineage: Eukaryota; Metazoa; Chordata; Actinopteri; Cypriniformes; Cyprinidae
Source: the annotation of a RefSeq genome assembly
CUCAAAGAGGCUUGAUACACCCACUUAUAGACCAUUAAAUUCAAAUUACAUACAACAAUGAUCAUCAUCUGCUCUGUUUUAACAUUUAUCUUGAGUUAUGGUGAAGCUAAUAAAAGUCCUAUCAGUUCAGAUAAAGCAUCUUUGUCUUUAAACGAAGGCAGUUAUGCUACUCUGUCCUGUACAUUUGAUGAAUCAGCUUACCGUCUCCACUGGUAUCGACAGAAGUCCGGAUCGAAGUUAGAGUUUUUGGUGCUGAUUGAUAAAUCCUCCAAAUUUGUAGUGCCCGCUAGUCCACCUCUUCCACAUAUGUCCACCAGUCUCCAAAAUAACAAUCGUGUGGAUCUGAUCAUCUCCUCUGCUGCUGUAUCAGACUCUGCUCUGUACUACUGUGGUCUGGAGCCCACAGUGACAGGAAAGCCUGCAACACAGUACAAAAUCCAAGUUUUGAUGAUUAUUUUAAAUGAAUAAAUUACUUGUACUGAGCUUUUGCAUACUGUAUAUAGUCCUCCAUGAUUCUCUGUUUAUACUGCAUUUCAGCAAUCAUAAUUUAACUGCUCAUGAUGACCACCAAUAGAACUAGUUUAGAUAUAUAGUUAUAGACUGUCAGUAAACGAAUAACUAGUUGGCAUGUUCUGUGGUGUGACUAGCUAAACUCCAUUUAUUCUUAUUUUAUUCACAGGUUUUUUUUUUUUGGUUUUUUUUACCUAAAAACAAUUGCUUCAUAGAAUAUUUGUUAGAAAAAUUGUGACACACCAGCUUCAAAUAAUGCACAAUAAAUUUUUGAUGCAACAGUUAAUUUUUUUCUGUAAAUCUAAUGAAACACUGUCAAGUCCUUUCAUUCUGAGAGAAAAACAGCCCAUCAGGGAAGAAGAUAAAGCCUCAGCCAGAGGGUGGAGCAAAAUCACAAAGCUGAAUGUUUUAAAGGCUGAUUCAUUUAGUCAUCCUGCUUUGAUAGCCUUACAAUCACUC